AGCCGAAACCUCCUGAAGGGAGGUCGUCCACGGGUGGUGCCGUGGGCCUGACGAAGGCAGCCAUUU
This 66-nucleotide non-coding RNA is filed under the name Streptomyces sp. CB03238. The record is from RNAcentral. Lineage: Bacteria; Bacillati; Actinomycetota; Actinomycetes; Kitasatosporales; Streptomycetaceae.